Molecule: ribosomal RNA, 376 nt
Filed under: uncultured Gammaproteobacteria bacterium
Lineage: Bacteria; Pseudomonadati; Pseudomonadota; Gammaproteobacteria
Description: bacterial SSU rRNA
Rfam family: Bacterial small subunit ribosomal RNA
Source: RNAcentral
UAAUACGGGAGGUGCGAGCGUUAAUCGGAAUUACUGGGCGUAAAGCGAGCGUAGGCUGUUAAUUAAGUCGAAUGUGAAAUCCCCGGGCUCAACCUGGGAACUGCAUUCGAAACUAUUUAACUAGAGUAUGGGAGAGGAAAGUAGAAUUUCCGGUGUAGCGGUGAAAUGCGUAGAUAUCGGAAGGAAUACCAGUGGCGAAGGCGGCUUUCUGGAACAAUACUGACGCUAAGGUUCGAAAGCGUGGGGAGCAAACAGGAUUAGAUACCCUGGUAGUCCACGCUGUAAACGAUGUCAACUAGCCGUUGGAAGGGUAAUCCUUUUAGUGGCGCAGCUAACGCUUUAAGUUGACCGCCUGGGGAGUACGGUCGCAAGAUUA